This 960-nucleotide ribosomal RNA is filed under the name Vibrio harveyi. RNAcentral describes it as "bacterial SSU rRNA". It matches the Rfam family "Bacterial small subunit ribosomal RNA", at positions 63 to 1012 of the family's 1533-position model. Lineage: Bacteria; Pseudomonadati; Pseudomonadota; Gammaproteobacteria; Vibrionales; Vibrionaceae. The record is from RNAcentral.
CGAGUUAUCUGAACCUUCGGGGAACGAUAACGGCGUCGAGCGGCGGACGGGUGAGUAAUGCCUAGGAAAUUGCCCUGAUGUGGGGGAUAACCAUUGGAAACGAUGGCUAAUACCGCAUAAUACCUACGGGUCAAAGAGGGGGACCUUCGGGCCUCUCGCGUCAGGAUAUGCCUAGGUGGGAUUAGCUAGUUGGUGAGGUAAUGGCUCACCAAGGCGACGAUCCCUAGCUGGUCUGAGAGGAUGAUCAGCCACACUGGAACUGAGACACGGUCCAGACUCCUACGGGAGGCAGCAGUGGGGAAUAUUGCACAAUGGGCGCAAGCCUGAUGCAGCCAUGCCGCGUGUGUGAAGAAGGCCUUCGGGUUGUAAAGCACUUUCAGUCGUGAGGAAGGUAGUGUAGUUAAUAGCUGCAUUAUUUGACGUUAGCGACAGAAGAAGCACCGGCUAACUCCGUGCCAGCAGCCGCGGUAAUACGGAGGGUGCGAGCGUUAAUCGGAAUUACUGGGCGUAAAGCGCAUGCAGGUGGUUUGUUAAGUCAGAUGUGAAAGCCCGGGGCUCAACCUCGGAAUAGCAUUUGAAACUGGCAGACUAGAGUACUGUAGAGGGGGGUAGAAUUUCAGGUGUAGCGGUGAAAUGCGUAGAGAUCUGAAGGAAUACCGGUGGCGAAGGCGGCCCCCUGGACAGAUACUGACACUCAGAUGCGAAAGCGUGGGGAGCAAACAGGAUUAGAUACCCUGGUAGUCCACGCCGUAAACGAUGUCUACUUGGAGGUUGUGGCCUUGAGCCGUGGCUUUCGGAGCUAACGCGUUAAGUAGACCGCCUGGGGAGUACGGUCGCAAGAUUAAAACUCAAAUGAAUUGACGGGGGCCCGCACAAGCGGUGGAGCAUGUGGUUUAAUUCGAUGCAACGCGAAGAACCUUACCUACUCUUGACAUCCAGAGAACUUUCCAGAGAUGGAUU